GACGAACGCUGGCGGCGUGCUUAACACAUGCAAGUCGAACGGAAAGGCCCUGCUUUUGUGGGGUGCUCGAGUGGCGAACGGGUGAGUAACACGUGAGUAACCUGCCCUUGACUUUGGGAUAACUUCAGGAAACUGGGGCUAAUACCGGAUAGGAGCUCCUGCUGCAUGGUGGGGGUUGGAAAGUUUCGGCGGUUGGGGAUGGACUCGCGGCUUAUCAGCUUGUUUGUGUGGUAGUGGCUUACCAAGGUUUUGACGGGUAGCCGGCAUGGGAGGGUUAACGGCCACCUUGGGCCUGAGAUACGGCCCAGACUGCUACGGGCGGCAACAGUGGGGAAUAUUGCACAAUGGGCGGAAGCCUGAUGCAGCAACGCCGCGUGCGGGAUGACGGCCUUCGGGUUGUAAACAGCUUUCGCCUGUGACGAAGCGUGAGUGACGGUAAUGGGUAAAGAAGCACCGGCUAACUACGUG
Molecule: ribosomal RNA, 468 nt
Filed under: uncultured bacterium
Lineage: Bacteria
Description: partial 16S ribosomal RNA
Rfam family: Bacterial small subunit ribosomal RNA
Source: RNAcentral